Molecule: long non-coding RNA, 2219 nt
Organism: Sorghum bicolor (sorghum)
Lineage: Eukaryota; Viridiplantae; Streptophyta; Magnoliopsida; Poales; Poaceae
Exons: 3
Source: RefSeq, a predicted model, not a curated record
CUUUCGGCCGGCACCCCAUCAUUCGAAGCAGAAAGCCGAGGAACUUGAGGGACAUCCAUCUACGGAGAGCUGAGGGCCGUGCAGUUGUCUAGAGGCUAGCCUAGGCUAGGCUCUAGCCGGCGGGAUCACCAUGGGGGAGUGGUGGUGCGAGCCCAGCUUCGGCCUGUAGCGGUUCACUUCAGGGCGCGGUGGUGUGCCGGUCCGGUCGGGGUCGGUGCGCCCGUUCCCUUUCUUUACGUUGCUGGCCUGGCCUGGGUGCGUGCUCCGGACCUCCUGUAGGCUGGCGCAGGGAGAUCGCUGGGUGGCCUUUGAUAGCUCCUAUGGAGAAGUUGAGAAAGGGAAAAGGUGUGCCACACGCGCGUGCCGCCGAGCCGUGGCGUGCUUGUCUUGUCGAGACACACGAGGACCAGACGAGACGUGACGUGGCACACGCAUGGUGAAUAAGGAAAGGAAGAAAAAUGAGAAAAAUGGGGUCUGACGGGAUCUGACUGUUGUGCAAUUAAUGACAAUUAUUUAAUAAUUGAUUGACUCGUUAAUAGCAAUUAAUUAUGAUUGAUUGCCAUUAACCUAUGCAGACACUCUUUUCUAACCUGUGAGACAGAAUCAGUCAUACCUGUCUUUCCAGUCGCGUUGCUCGUUUUUGGGAGCGUCUUCCGCGACCGCUCGCCGGCGAGAUCGUCUUCUUCCACUCCUGCAUUUCUGGUGGACGGUCGAGUUCGUGACUGCGACUACUUCGUCUUCUUCCUAGUGGACGUUCGUGGAACUGCACUGCGAUCAUCUUCCUGCAUCGACUAUGGUCCACUACAGCAAGCAACACACUAUGUCGACUAGUGCGAAUGGAGCCACCGGUGUCUUCGGCACUGGUCCCUCCUUGGGGUACAAAUCUAAUCUACUUUCUUUUAUUUUCAGUAUGUCUGCAGUAGUAUUUGCAAUAUUUAUCUCUAAUCUGAGUAGUGAUAAAAUUGUACACGUGCACAUCUAUGCCACCCUAAUAUUAUGCGUUUAUCUAGAUUAAAUCAAACAUUAAAAUAUCUAAUUUUCUAACAAUCCAAAAACUUGAUAUUAGACCUUUCUGUUAGUGGUUUUGCUGCUGCGUUAAUACCGGAUCCGUUUGAUGGUUCAAACUAUAAGCGGUGGCGCGCGAGAAUGAUAUUGUGGUUAACUGCUAUGAGUUGCUAUCACGCUACGAAGGGGAAGCCGGAACAGUUUACUCCUGAGGAGGAGCAAACGUUCAUGGGAGCCGAUAACUAACCUCUUCAGAGGCGCCGUGAUCAGUGCGCUCGAUAAAAAGUAUGUUGACAACUAUAUCAUUUGCACUACUGCUAAGGAAUUAUGGGAUGCGCUUGAGGCCAAGUUCGGGGUUUCUAAUGCUGGUAGCGAGCUGUACCUCAUGGAGCAACUGUUUGAUUACAAAAUGGUGGAUAACCGUCUGUGAUUGAACAAGCACGUGAGAUACAGGCACUAGGUAAGGAACUAGAACAAUUCCCUUGUGUGUUGCCUGAAAAGUUUGUGGCCGGCGGUAUAAUCGCUAAGCUGCCACCUUCUUGGAAGGAUUUUGCUACUUCUCUAAAACAUGAGAGGAAAGAGUUUGGUCUUACCGAACUCAUGGAAACUCUUGAUGUCGAGGAGAAGGCGAGAACAAAAGAUACACAUGAGAAAGGCGUUGAGUCUUCUAGUGCCAAUGUGGUGCAGAAGAAAAAGCAAUUCGCAUUCCGUAAUAAGAAAAAGAACAAGCAAGAGAACAAGCCAGGGACAAAUCCGAAGCCAAAGCAAACUGUAACUUUUAAGAAGAAAAAGGCAGAUGGUGGCUGCUUUGUUUGCGGUAGCGAUGACCACUAGGCAAGUGUUUGUCCAGACCGCAAAUUCAAACGAGAAGAGAAAAAGUCAGUGAACAUGGUCAUCAGCGAAGCUGAAGGAGGAACAUCUGGGCCGGCGACAAUGGAGCCUUACUGAUGAGGAACGGCUCUCAUGCGUGUGUUCUUGGUGUUGGUACGGUCAUUCUGAAGUUCACUUUGGGAAAGACGGUGCUGAUGAAGAACUUGCAGCAUGUCCCCUCCAUCAAAAAGAAUCUAGCUAGCGGCUCACAGCUUUGUAGAGAUGGCUACAAAAUAGUCUUUGAGGCCAAUAAAGUUAUACUUUCAAAGUUUGUAACUUUUAUUGGUAAAGGUUAUGAUUGCGGAGGCUUGUUCCGUUUAUCUAUGCAUCAUGUGUGUAACAAA